RNAcentral lists this ribosomal RNA (500 nucleotides) under uncultured bacterium. Its description in RNAcentral is "partial 16S ribosomal RNA". It matches the Rfam family "Bacterial small subunit ribosomal RNA", at positions 30 to 523 of the family's 1533-position model. The record is from RNAcentral.
AUUGAACGCUGGCGGAAUGCUUUACACAUGCAAGUCGAACGGCAGCACGGACUUCGGUCUGGUGGCGAGUGGCGAACGGGUGAGUAAUGUAUCGGAACGUGCCCAGUCGUGGGGGAUAACGUAGUGAAAAUUACGCUAAUACCGCAUACGAUCAAUGGAUGAAAGCGGGGGAUCGCAAGACCUCGCGCGAUUGGAGCGGCCGAUAUCAGAUUAGGUAGGUGGUGGGGUAAAGGCCCACCAAGCCAACGAUCUGUAGCUGGUCUGAGAGGACGACCAGCCACACUGGAACUGAGACACGGUCCAGACUCCUACGGGAGGCAGCAGUGGGGAAUUUUGGACAAUGGGCGAAAGCCUGAUCCAGCCAUUCCGCGUGCAGGAUGAAGGCCCUCGGGUUGUAAACUGCUUUUGUACAGAACGAAAAGGUUUCUACUAAUACUAGGAGCUCAUGACGGUACUGUAAGAAUAAGCACCGGCUAACUACGUGCCAGCCGCCGCAGUAA